RNAcentral lists this ribosomal RNA (484 nucleotides) under uncultured bacterium. RNAcentral describes it as "partial 16S ribosomal RNA". It matches the Rfam family "Bacterial small subunit ribosomal RNA", at positions 30 to 507 of the family's 1533-position model. The record is from RNAcentral.
AUUGAACGCUGGCGGCAGGCCUAACACAUGCAAGUCGAGCGGAUGAAGGGAGCUUGCUCCUGGAUUCAGCGGCGGACGGGUGAGUAAUGCCUAGGAAUCUGCCUGGUCGUGGGGGAUAACGUCCGGAAACGGGCGCUAAUACCGCAUACGUCCUGAGGGAGAAAGUGGGGGAUCUUCGGACCUCACGCUAUCAGAUGAGCCUAGGUCGGAUUAGCUAGUUGGUGGGGUAAAGGCCUACCAAGGCGACGAUCCGUAACUGGUCUGAGAGGAUGAUCAGUCACACUGGAACUGAGACGCGGUCCUGACUCCUACGGGAGGCAGCAGUGGGGAAUAUUGGACAAUGGGGGAAAGCCUGAUCCAGCCAUGCCGCGUGUGUGAAGAAGGUCUUCGGAUUGUAAAGCACUUUAAGUUGGGAGGAAGGGCAGUAAGUUAAUACCUUGCUGUUGUGACGUUACCAACAGAAUAAGCACCGGCUAACUUCGUG